Molecule: ribosomal RNA, 1668 nt
Filed under: Triticum aestivum (bread wheat)
Lineage: Eukaryota; Viridiplantae; Streptophyta; Magnoliopsida; Poales; Poaceae
Description: partial small subunit ribosomal RNA
Source: RNAcentral
AUGUUCACGACCUGGCCUGCGAGGAGGCACGCGUGCAGCUCCCUCUUCUGCCACCUCCAUGGCGCCGGCAGCGCCAUGCUGUACCGCGUGCUGGACGCGGUGACGUCGGUGAAAUGCGAGACGCGGCGGGCUCGCAAGCAGAUCAAGGUGCUCGAGGCCCUCGACGUCGCCGGGACGCAGCUGUACCACUUCACCACCAUCGUCAUCGCCGGCAUGGGCUUCUUCACCGACGCCUACGACCUGUUCUCGGUCUCCCUCAUCGCCGACCUCCUGGGCCGCAUCUACUACCACUCGGCGGACGGCAAGCUUCCCGGCAAGGUCGCGGGCGCCGUUAGCGGCGUGGCGCUCUGUGGCACCGUCCUGGGGCAGCUCUUCUUCGGCUGGCUCGGCGACAGGAUGGGGCGGAAGCGGAUCUACGGCGUCACGCUCAAGCUUAUGGUGGUGUGCUCGCUCGCGUCCGGCCUCUCCUUCCACAACAAGCCCAAGUGUGUGGUAGCCACGUUGUGCUUCUUCCGCUUCUGGCUCGGCUUCGGCAUCGGCGGCGACUACCCGCUCUCCGCAACCAUCAUGUCUGAGUAUGCCAACAAGAGGACUCGGGGAGCUUUCAUAGCAGCGGUCUUCGCUAUGCAGGGUCUCGGGAACCUCGCUGCUGGGGCUGUCGUUCUGGUGCUCUCUGCGAGAUUCAAGAACACGGCCGCGUACGAGACUGACCAGCUUGGGCAAGCGGACUACGUGUGGCGCAUUGUACUCAUGCUCGGCGCCGUUCCCGCCCUCCUCACCUACUACUGGCGCAUGAAGAUGCCCGAGACGGCGCGGUACACGGCGCUAAUCGCCAAGAACCUCAAGCUAGCGGCGUCCGACAUGGCCGCGGUCCUCGACAUCGACUUCGUGUCGGAGGCGGACGCGGACGUUGUCCAGCAGGACGAGUUUGGCCUCUUCUCCAUGGAGUUCCUUCACAAGCAUGGCCGCCAGCUCCUCGGCACCACCGUCUGCUGGUUCGUCCUCGACGUCGUCUUCUACUCCCUCAAUCUCUUCAUGAAGGACAUCUUCAACAACAUCGGCUGGUUUGGAGACGCGGCCAUGAUGAGCCCUCUCGAGCAGACCUACAAGAUAGCUCGCACGCAGGCCAUCAUCGUGGUCUGCGGUUCCCUGCCAGGGUACUUCCUCACCGUCCUCUUCAUCGACCGCAUCGGCCGCAUCAAGAUCCAGCUCAUGGGGUUCACCAUGAUGACCAUCUUCAUGAUCGGGCUCGCCGCGCCCUACAAGUUCUGGUCCAAACCAAGCAUGCACGUAGGCUUCGCCAUCAUGUACGCCUUGAUCCUCUUCUUCGCAAACUUCGGGCCCAACUCCACCACCUUUAUCCUGCCCACGGAGAUAUUCCCGACGCGGCUGCGGUCGACGUGCAACGGCAUAUCGGCCGCCGGGGGUAAGUGUGGUGCCAUCAUCGGAGUUCUCUGGUUCCAGUAUUCUCACACGAGCAACCGGAGCUCUCUUCUUCUGCUGGCGGGGUGCAACCUAAUUGGAGUUAUGUUCACUCUUGCCUUGCCGGAGUCCAAAGGGAUGUCACUCGAGGAUAUCACCGGGGAAAUGGAGGAAGAAAGCGAACCACCUGGAGAAUCUGCAAUGAUUGCUGAAGCUGAGUUCAUCCACAGCGUAGAAAUUUCGUAA